UACGUAGGGAGCAAGCGUUGUCCGGAAUCAUUGGGCGUAAAGCGCGCGUAGGCGGCCCGAUAAGUCCGCUGUGAAAGUCAACGGCUCAACUGUUGGAUGCCGGUGGAUACUGUCGGGCUAGAGUACGGAAGAGGCAAGUGGAAUUCCUGGUGUAGCGGUGGAAUGCGCAGAUAUCAGGAGGAACACCUAUAGCGAAGGCAGCUUGCUGGGACGUUACUGACGCUGAGGUGCGAAAGCGUGGGGAGCAAACAGG
Molecule: ribosomal RNA, 253 nt
Filed under: uncultured bacterium
Lineage: Bacteria
Description: partial 16S ribosomal RNA
Rfam family: Bacterial small subunit ribosomal RNA
Source: RNAcentral